UAAUAUUAUCAUUUUGGAAAUAUGUAUUUUAAACUUGUAUUGGCUUCUAUUGGUCUACUGUGUGUAGGUGUUACCUCUGGUACAUCCGGAAGGUAUUGUCAUAGUUGCUAUGGACGUUACGACGAUUCCCCUGCAGCCUUUGAUGACUGUCGUCAUUUUGUUAAUAUUACGAAAACUGACACGUGUUCAUCAUCUGCACAUUGCAUAUUUUAUUAUAAAACUUUUUCAAAAAUGAACAAGGCCAAAAGUGUAGCGGCUAGAUUUUGUUCGGACCAUGAUUGUGAUUACUUCAGGGUUUCGGGCGACCCAUACAAACACUGUUCGCAGUGCGAAACCGACUAUUGCAAUACUGACAAAUUUUUAAGUAUAAGAUAAAGCCUGUAAUUGUUUGGGAUGUUACACAUAUUGUUUAUUAGUAUAAGUUGUUGCAUAUAGGAACGGUAGUUAUUGAUUUGUAUUACUAUGACACGUUGGUUAAUGUCUUAAUAAAGAGGAUAUUUUAAUAUAA
Photinus pyralis (common eastern firefly) is the source of this 508-nucleotide long non-coding RNA. RefSeq lists it as uncharacterized. The record is from RefSeq and is a predicted model, not a curated record. Lineage: Eukaryota; Metazoa; Arthropoda; Insecta; Coleoptera; Lampyridae. The transcript is spliced from 3 exons.